AGAGAGAGAGAGAGAGAGAGGCAACCUGAUACCCGGUUGACACAAGUUACAAACAAGGGAGAGAAGAGGCACUUGAAAUAUAGAACUACAAAAGGGUAAGUAGAGAUUACUCACAGUGGAAAGCAGAGCAAUGUCAAACAAACAAUCUUUAUGGCGAUAAACAAAGUCUACGGCUAGAAGUAGAUGCCCUUGCACUACAAGGCCUACAUAUGAAACAAAAGUUAACACAUGCAUUGCCAACAAAAAGUAUGCAGUACUGGCAAAUGUUAUCUGAGAGUAAUAUAAAAGUCAGAUUGUGAAUGAAGAAACUAGAGCUGGAUAGUUGAAAUAUCAUACUAUUAGAGAUGUCCAACUUAUUAAAAAGUGUUUGAAAACACUAAAGGGGAUGAGGAUAAAGGCCUAUCAUCAACUGAGUAUUAAAAGACUUGAUUAAAUAGUGUAGGGUAACAGGAAAAAUAGUUCUUUGUUCCCUCCCUCAAUUCAAAGGCAUUCAACUCCUGUGUCUUGACUAGCCAAUCCAAACAAUUAAAAAUUUGAGCACCUACAUAAUUGAACCUAUAUCCUUUUAAAUAACUGGACAAGAAGAACAGAAUGAGAAGGCUGAUGUCCAAACCACCUCCCCAAGAUACUCAAAACAAGGAAGAUGGCCAUAACAAAAUAUUCUAAUGAUUUAUUCACUCCAAAGAAGGAGAGAAAAGGCAUAAAAGAAAAAACUAACCUGUGAAACUGAGAGCACAAGAGCAUAACGUAGUGUAGAAAAUUUGGUUGUGUAUUUCCAUAUCAUAACCUUUAAAUAGUUUAUCUUGGAAUGUGCUAGUAAAGCCAUCAAACCUGUUAAAAACAAAGAAGAAUCUUAAUAAAUAGUAUAAUCACCAUGUCAGAUUUUUUCCAAAAUCCUUCUCUUGGACUAUUUAGUAGAAUACAUGCUUCUCAAUGCCAUUCAGCACAAAACCAAGAAAAUAAUUUAGUUGAACAAUAGUUACAAAAAUUUUAAGAAUAUUAUCUGUCUUUGCAUGCAGCAUUGAAAUAAGGGAUCAUAUGUCCUCUCUACAUUUGUGCAAUCCAGCGAAUAGGUAUCAUUCAUGGCAAGCAAUCAGAUAUUAGCAUGCUAGAAGCCUAGAACACGCCUCUCAGUAGGAAUAUUUGAUUUAUAACAGAAUAAACUAUAUCUCUUUUUUUUUUGUGACAAACAAAUUAGAAAUAUAAUUAAAUUCAGCAUCCUUAUAAUAAGAAGAAAGCAUUCCAAAUUGAUACCCAAGAUAACCAAGCAUCAGGGUAACACCCCAAACAGUAUUUUCCCUUCCUCUGCUGUAUGGACUGAUAUCAGUUCCUG
RNAcentral lists this unclassified non-coding RNA (1333 nucleotides) under Hevea brasiliensis (rubber tree). Lineage: Eukaryota; Viridiplantae; Streptophyta; Magnoliopsida; Malpighiales; Euphorbiaceae. The record is from RNAcentral.